This 439-nucleotide ribosomal RNA is filed under the name uncultured bacterium. Its description in RNAcentral is "partial 16S ribosomal RNA". It matches the Rfam family "Bacterial small subunit ribosomal RNA", at positions 339 to 795 of the family's 1533-position model. The record is from RNAcentral.
CUACGGGUGGCACCAGCGAGGAAUAUUGCACAAUGGGGGGAACCCUGAUGCAGCAACGCCGCGUGGAGGAUGACGCAUUUCGGUGUGUAAACUCCUUUUAUAUGUCAAGAAAAUGACGGUAGCAUAUGAAUAAGCACCGGCUAACUCCGUGCCAGCAGCCGCGGUAAUACGGAGGGUGCAAGCGUUACUCGGAAUCACUGGGCGGAAAGGACGCGUAGGCGGGUUGGAAAGUCAGGUGUGAAAUCCUACAGCUUAACUGUAGAACUGCACUUGAAACUUCUAAUCUAGAGUAUGGGAGGGGGAGAUGGAAUUAGUGGUGUAGGGGUAAAAUCCGUAGAUAUCACUAGGAAUACCUAAAGCGAAGGCGAUCUCCUGGAACAUUACUGACGCUAAGGCGUGAAAGCGUGGGGAGCAAACAGGAUUAGAUACCCGUGUAGUC